GUGCUUGCUUUGGCAGCACAUAUACUAUUGGAAUGAUACAGAGAAGAUUAGCAUGGCUCCUGCACAAGGAGACAUGCAAGUUUAUGAAGUAUUGCACAUUUUU
This 103-nucleotide small nuclear RNA is filed under the name Dasypus novemcinctus (nine-banded armadillo). The record is from RNAcentral. Lineage: Eukaryota; Metazoa; Chordata; Mammalia; Cingulata; Dasypodidae.